GUAGGGAAUAUUGGGCAAUGGUCGGAAGACUGACCCAGCCAUGCCGCGUGCAGGAAGACGGCCCUCUGGGUUGUAAACUGCUUUAUCUGGGAAGAAAAAGGCCAUGCGUGGCAAAUUGCCGGUACCAGAUGAAUAAGCACCGGCUAACUCCGUGCCAGCAGCCGCGGUAAUACGGAGGGUGCGAGCGUUGUCCGGAUUUAUUGGGUUUAAAGGGUGCGUAGGCGGCUGAUUAAGUCAGCGGUGAAAGACUUCGGCUUAACCGGAGCAGUGCCGUUGAUACUGGUUGGCUUGAGUGUCGGAGGGGUACAUGGAAUUGAUGGUGUAGCGGUGAAAUGCAUAGAUACCAUCAGGAACACCGAUAGCGAAGGCAUUGUACUGGCCGACAACUGACGCUGAUGCACGAAAGUGUGGGGAUCGAACAGGAUUAGAUACCCGUGUAGUCC
RNAcentral lists this ribosomal RNA (443 nucleotides) under uncultured bacterium. Its description in RNAcentral is "partial 16S ribosomal RNA". It matches the Rfam family "Bacterial small subunit ribosomal RNA", at positions 354 to 796 of the family's 1533-position model. The record is from RNAcentral.